Non-coding RNA from Paramormyrops kingsleyae, 649 nucleotides. The record is from RefSeq and is a predicted model, not a curated record. Lineage: Eukaryota; Metazoa; Chordata; Actinopteri; Osteoglossiformes; Mormyridae.
GUAUAUCACCCCUUAGAUGCAGCCUGAAUUUUGAAGUAUGUUUGCUUCUCUCAGGAAUCCAUUCGCAGUCUCCCACGGUUCUGCUUCCCGUACGACAUAGAAAGGGUGAAACCAAGUAUGGUAGUACAACACUUCACCUUUGUACUCACCGAUCUAGAAGGAUGUCAGCGUUUCGGAUUUUGCCGUCAGACUUCUGGGUCUAAGAGCUGUCUCUGCGUCUUGAGUUACCUACCCUGGUUUGAGGUCUUCUACAAACUCCUGAAUAAUCUGGCUGACUAUUUGACUAAAGGACAGACCAAUGAAAUGCGAGAACUGCUGUCCGCCCUCCACAAACACCCCGUCCCACAGGCUGACAGCUUCGCCACCCUACAGCUGGUAAGUCAACAGCAGCCAAUGGCACCCUGCUUCGGGUCAAUAUUAAAGGAUAUACCUCCCAAAAACAGUGUGUUAACUGUCCUUUGUACUAAUACAAAUGACAGAAUAACAACCAUUUUUCUGAAAAUUUUUCUUUGCCUGCCGUGCUGUGGGAAGUGAAGUUUCAUUUUAUGGGAAAAUACUGAUUGGGAAUAAAUCUGCUUGAUAGCGGGUGUGAGGAAAAUGCCUGGCAUCUGUAGACGUCUUGUUAGACACAGAGCUAUGAUAAACUUGA